AUACCCGAUAGUCCUCGACUGCUGGAAUGCAUCGAGUGCUAAAGCUCCGGCGCCUAAGGAUGGGUCUGCGGCCUAUCAGGUAGUAGUGGGUGUAGCGUACCUACUAGCCUACGACGGGUACGGGUUGUGAGAGCAAGGGCCCGGAGAUGGAUUCUGAGACACGAAUCCAGGCCCUACGGGGUGCAGCAGGCGCGAAAACUUUACAAUGCUGGAAACAGCGAUAAGGGGACCUCGAGUGCCAGGUUACAAAUCUGGCUGUCGUGAUGCCUAAAAAGCAUUGCAUAGCAAGGGCCGGGCAAGACCGGUGCCAGCCGCCGCGGUAACACCGGCGGCUCGAGUGGUAACCGUUAUUAUUGGGUCUAAAGGGUCUGUAGCCGGCCGGAUAAGUCUCUUGGGAAAUCUGGCGGCUUAACUGUCAGGCUUUCAGGGGAUACUGUCUGGCUCGAGGCCGGGAGAGGUGAGAGGUACUUCAGGGGUAGGGGUGAAAUCUUGUAAUCCUUGAAGGACCACCAGUGGCGAAGGCGUCUCACCAGAACGGACCUGACGGCAAGGGACGAAAGCUAGGGGCACGAACCGGAUUAGAUACCCGGGUAGUCCUAGCCGUAAACGAUACUCGCUAGGUGUCGGCCACGGUGCGACCGUUGUCGGUGCCGUAGGGAAGCCGUGAAGCGAGCCACCUGGGAAGUACGGCCGCAAGGCUGAAACUU
Molecule: ribosomal RNA, 707 nt
Filed under: uncultured archaeon
Lineage: Archaea
Description: bacterial SSU rRNA
Rfam family: Archaeal small subunit ribosomal RNA
Source: RNAcentral